CAUGUUAUCAAUUAGGUCAUCCGCGCGUCGACACGUGUCAUCAUAAAUGAAACGCAGCGUCUCUAUUUUUUUCUUCCGUUCGGGCUGUAUUGCGCUUCGUCUCACUCUUUGUUUGUGGCCCUUUGUUGUGCGGCCAGACGAAACUUAACUCGACGCGAAAUCCUAAUCCGUGUGUUGAUCCUCUUUUUGUUUUUCGUUUCACUUCGAUUGGCGGAGACGAUCCAGUUUCUGUAACUGAAUUCGGUGUGAUUGCUUCAUCUUUAAUCCUAUUAAAUUGCGGUGUUCAGUCGGUUAUAUCGUGUAUAAAUAGGUAGUACAUCUUUAGGAUGUUUGAAAAAGGUUAGUGGAGAAGACGGUGGUGGUGGUAGCCAACAUCAUGACGGCACUGAAACUGAUAGGAAGAAGAAACGUUACCAACAUCACACCGCUCAACAGAUUCAACGUCUUGAAUCGAGUUUCAAGAAUGUCCUCAUCCAGAUGAUAAGCAGAGGAACCAACUUAGCAGAGAAUUGGGUUUGGCUCCAAGACAAAUCAAGUUCUGGUUUAACAGAAGAACUCAGCUUAAGGCGCAACAUGAGAGAGCAUAUAACAAUGCACUAAGAAGCAGCGGCUUCAACGACCUCAAGUCUCGCGGCUUCAACGGCCUCUUCUCUCAGAUCGAGGAUGUAAGGGACAAGCAUCAGAAGUCGGCACCAGCUCCUCUGGUUGUGAGGGAGAGUCCACUCAGAUAUAACAAAAAUCUUCAACUUUUUUCGUUCGGGAGACGUACAUGCCGCUGUUUCGUUGCGGCCGAGUGUGAGUGACCAGUUUAUCGGAGGGAAAGCUUAAGACACAAAGUGAGGUUGACACAAUCAUGACAAUUUAGAAUGUUGAGGUUCUGAUGUUUCACGUUUCAUGGUCACUCGAGAUUCUGUUGAUCCUGAACCGCUAUCCCUCGAAAUUACAGAGUCAUUUGACUAAAAUAAUAAAAAUCUUUGAUGCAGGAUUCCACUUCCUAACACAUGGAAACUAUGACACUUUGUUGUCCUUAAAGUCUUCAUCGUAGUGUUUCAGAUUUAAUCUCUUUUAUAAUAUGGGUGGUAAUGGUUCGAGGAUUAACACUACGAUGAAGACUUUCUUACUCUACUGAUCAACUGUCUGAUGCAAUAGCUAAGAGAGUUUCUUCAUUUUCGAUUUAUCAUGUUGUCUUAAGGAGUUGUACUUUUUAUUGGUGUAUGAAAUCAUCUUUAUUUUGUUUGACUCAACGAUAUUGGAUAGGUUAGUUUGUGUUGAUUUGUGUCUCCUACAUUUGUUGCAUAAUGGUGCAUGGUUAUACUUACUCUGUAUAUGAAUGCUACAAGAUUGUUGUCAAGAAUGAGCCUGAGCAGCUUCGCUUUUGAUGCCAGUA
Molecule: long non-coding RNA, 1387 nt
Organism: Raphanus sativus (radish)
Lineage: Eukaryota; Viridiplantae; Streptophyta; Magnoliopsida; Brassicales; Brassicaceae
Exons: 5
Source: RefSeq, a predicted model, not a curated record